RNAcentral lists this ribosomal RNA (253 nucleotides) under uncultured bacterium. Its description in RNAcentral is "partial 16S ribosomal RNA". It matches the Rfam family "Bacterial small subunit ribosomal RNA", at positions 524 to 776 of the family's 1533-position model. The record is from RNAcentral.
UCCGGAGGGUGCGAGCGUUGUUCGGAAUUACUGGGCGUAAAGCGCGUGUAGGCGGCCUCUUAAGUCUGGUGUGAAAGCCCGGGGCUUACCCCCGGAAGGGCACUGGAGACUGGGAGGCUUGAGUACCGGAGAGGAAGGUGGAAUUCCUGGUGUAGCGGUGAAAUGCGUAGAUAUCAGGAGGAACACCGGUGGCGAAGGCGGCCUUCUGGACGGCUACUGACGCUGAGACGCGAAAGCGUGGGGAGAAAACAGG